Molecule: long non-coding RNA, 1973 nt
Filed under: Homo sapiens (human)
Lineage: Eukaryota; Metazoa; Chordata; Mammalia; Primates; Hominidae
Description: non-protein coding lnc-CHMP7-1:11
Source: RNAcentral
GCUCUCAGCUUCUGUUCCUCAACCACGGCCGCCGCGUGGAUGCCGCUGCAUUCGGAGUCGUUUUGCCACUUGGUCCCAGCGCCAGGCUUCUCGGUCGGGAGUUGACCUCAGCCUUUCUGUGACCCAGUUCCUGGCACCCAGCAGGCGCUCGGUGGACGGAUGGGUGGCGGAAUGAAGGACACAGAGGCCACUGCGGGGUCUGGCCUCUAAGAGGCUUUUACGGCCUCCUCCGUCACUACCGGGCGAGUGAUUCAGCCUGCCUUUUUUUUUUUUUUUUUUUUUUGAGAUGGAGUCAAGCUCUGUCGCCCAGGCUGGAGUGCAGUGGCACGAUCUCGGCUCACUGCAACCUCCGCCUCCCAGGUUCAAGCGAUUUUCCUGCCUCAGCCUCCUGAGUAACUGGGAUUACAGGUGCCCGCCACCACGUCCGGCUAAUUUUUUUUCUAUUUUUAGUAGAGACGGGGGUUUCACUGUUUUGGCCAGGCUGGUCUCGAGCUCCUGAUCUCGUGAUCCGCCCGCUUCGGCCUUACAAAGUGCUGGGAUUACAAGCGUGAGCCACCGUGCCCGGCUCAUCCUGCUUUUGGUUUCAGGUCUCCAUGCCAGUGAAAUGUCACCUCAACUCCACCGUCCCUGGUGUCAGGCAAGCCCGAGGGACCCAAUUCUGCCUUUCUUCUGGAUUUUCCUAACCUGUUAAGAGUCUUGAAAGUCCUUAAACCACGGGAGACUAUCUGGCACAUGACACGGGAUGAGACUUGGUGGGGGUCCCACGGGGGACAGGUCCUUCCAGCGGUUCCUCUGCACCCAGCGCUGCACGGGCAUGGGGCGUGGGUAAUCAGCCUCCCGAAAGCCACGCGAGUCACGGUCCUGCCUGCGAAGAACUCCCAGGGCGACCUUGGGGCUGAGGAGUGGGCCUGCUUCGGCCUUCUGCUCUUCUGUUGUGUGGUGACCCUCACCAGAGGACAGCUUCAUGCUCUUGGACUUCCCAGCCUCAAGAACUUCUUGCUCUGUUGCCCAGGCUAGAAUGCAGAGGCACCAUCUUGGCUCACUGCAACCUCCGCCUACCGGGUUCAAAUGAUUCUCCUGCCUCAGCCUCCCGAGUAGCUGGGAUUACAGGCACCUGCCACCAUGCCCAGCUAAUUUUUGUAUUUUCAGCAGAGAUGAGGUUUUACCAUGUUGACCAGGCUGGUCUUGAACUCCUGACCUCAAGUGAUCCGCCAACCUCGGCCUCCCAAAGUGCUGAGAUUACAGGCAUGAGCCACCAUGCCCGGCCUCCAUCUUUUACUUUCAAUCUAUCUGAAGCUUUAUAUUUAAGGUGCAUAUAUUUUAGACAGUUAAUAAUUUCAGCUUGCUUUUUUUUUUCCUAGUUGGGGAAACUCUGCUUUUUAAUUGGAUUGUUUAUUCUGGUUACAUUUGUUGUUGUGGUGAAAUUUGGAAAGUUCAACCUGCCACAACGUCUUCACUUACUAUUUUUAAAGGAUAUUCUCAAUGAGUGUGAAUAGUGAGUCAACAGCUUUCUUUCACCAUUUCACACAUCCUGAGCCUCCAUUGUUUUGAGUCAGCUGUCGUUCAUAUCUUUGUUACCUGUGAAUGCACAAAAUUUGCUCUGUAUGAUGACUAUGAUGUGUCCAGGUAGGGUUUUCUUUACAUUUAUUUUUAUGAGGGGUUUAUGAACUUUUUGAAUCUAUAAGUUGAUGUUUUUUCACUACAUUUGAGACUAUAUCAACUUUUUUUUUCUUUCAUCUUUUCCAGCCAUUUCUUCUUGGUUCUGGUUCCGUGUGUACUGCAUGAUAUUGUACCACGUGUCACGGAGACUCGCUUCCUUGUUUUCUUUCAGUUUCAUUUUCCCUUGCACUUCAGAUGGAAUGAUAUCUAUUGAUCUCUUUUCAAGUUCACUCAUUCUUUCUUCUGUAAUGUUCAAUCUCUCUUAAGAAAGUCCAAAUAAAUUUUUCAUUUCAGAGAGUGGAAUUUUCGGUUCU